AUUGAACGCUGGCGGCAGGCCUAACACAUGCAAGUCGAGCGGUUGACGGGAGCUUGCUCCCUGAUUCAGCGGCGGACGGGUGAGUAAUGCCUAGGAAUCUGCCUAUUAGUGGGGGACAACGUUUCGAAAGGAACGCUAAUACCGCAUACGUCCGACGGGAGAAAGCAGGGGACCUUCGGGCCUGGCGCUAAUAGAUGAGCCUAGGGCGGAUUAGCUUGUUGGUAGGGUAAUGGCUCACCAAGGCGACGAUCCGUAACUGGUCUGAGAGGAUGAUCAGUCACACUGGAACUGAGACACGGUCCAGACUCCUACGGGAGGCAGCAGUGGGGAAUAUUGGACAAUGGGCGAAAGCCUGAUCCAGCCAUGCCGCGUGUGUGAAGAAGGUCUUCGGAUUGUAAAGCACUUUAAGUUGGGAGGAAGGGUUGUAGAUUAAUACUCUGCAAUUUUGACGUUACCGACAGAAUAAGCACCGGCUAACUCUGUGCCAGCAGCCGCCGUAA
RNAcentral lists this ribosomal RNA (500 nucleotides) under uncultured bacterium. Its description in RNAcentral is "partial 16S ribosomal RNA". It matches the Rfam family "Bacterial small subunit ribosomal RNA", at positions 30 to 523 of the family's 1533-position model. The record is from RNAcentral.